GUUACACGUAAGAAAGCUGUGUGUUGUUAACGUGUUCCCCGUUAUAAUUCGGCGGGUUAUAUCUGUGAAACUAGCUCUGUUUACGUAACUGCCGCGGUCUCACUUCCGGUUUGAGUUCUGCGAGAUGUAAACAAAGAUCACGUGACGCUAAACGUGCCGUGAUGUUUCCCCAGCUAACAUGACUCAAAUAGCUAGUGUAACACUAUAUUCUAUGUCUAAAUCGUGAAUACAGUAAGAGGCUGGUCAUCCUUCUCAUGCAGUUAUUGAAGGUUACUGGUCUGUUGUUUUGAGUUGAAGUCAUUGAAUGAGCAGUGUGUGCUGAUCAAUGCAUUGAGUAUUCUCAUUAAAAUAAUCUGUUGCUGGUCUGACAGCAUCUUAGCCUUAUUUGUUCAGCUGUAACUCUCACAAUGUAAAAUAGACUUGGGGUGCAAAUGGAAAAAUAUAUCACAAUAUAUUUUUAGCAUAUAUUCAGUGAUUCACCGUGUCAGCUCUUUGAUCCUUGUUGCAGUGUGACCUGUCGGAGUUGUCUUACAGUCACGGGCAGGAUGCAGUGUUACUUGCUCUGGUUACUUGUUUAAUGUUGUGAUUACUAUACGCUAUGAAAGGAACCCUUAUUUAUGCUUAGAAUUAUGUGAUCUAAAGCUGGGGUUCAGAGGUUUUAAAGUGUAUUUUGAAUAUUAAUCAGUGCAGCCCCCUAUAUGUUCUUGUUAGACUUUAGAAUAGGCCAUGCACACUGCUGUAAGUUAUUUGCCAUUUAAUAAACGUUUAAUAGACUUUUCAAAUAAAGUCACUUUGGUAACUUGUGAGUAUCUCAACAAACAUCAUUACUAUAAUUUCUAAAUGCAGUCUUUUUUUCAAUCUGAAUUCCAGGUGACACACAAUCAGGCUCCUGCUGUGGCAGUGGACACGGAGACGCCUUUAGACUGGACUAGCUAUGAUGGAUGUGACCCAAAUAGAGCUACCGUCAGGUGACACACAAUCAGGCUCCUGCUGUGGCAGUGGACACGGAGACGCCUUUAGACUGGACUACCUAUGAUGGAUGUGACCCAAAUAGAGCUACCGUCAGGUGACACACAAUCAGGCUCCUGCUGUGGCAGUGGACACGGAGACGCCUUUAGACUGGACUACCUAUGAUGGAUGUGACCCAAAUAGAGCCACCGUCAGGUGACACACAAUCAGGCUCCUGCUGUGGCAGUGGACACGGAGACGCCUUUAGACUGGACUACCUAUGAUGGAUGUGUCCCAAAUAGAGCCACCGUCAGGUGACACACAAUCAGGCUCCUGCUGUGGCAGUGGACACGGAGACGCCUUUAGACUGGACUAGCUAUGAUGGAUGUGAUCCAAAUAGAGCUACCGUCAGGGGUUUACUGUUGGAGGCUUUCCCCUAGUGGAUUAUCCAGACAGCGAUGAAACCGAUGAUGAUUGUUGCCUGUGCAGAAAGUCUCAGGCCCAUCAUCUGGCCGGAGUUAUUUUUGACCAGGCACUAUGAUGGGACACAGCGGAUCCUCCGCGCCGACCAAUGCAUGUCAGUUUGCUGGUACAAAUGAUUGAUUAUGAGUAUCUCACUAUCACCUGGAUUGGUUUACUUACAACCGAGGUGCCAGUGCCUCUCUCUGGACCAGUGACAAGCUUGCUAGCUGGUGAGUUUGUAGCUAUGGGCAAACACACUAUGGAACACUCGUGCCACGGACGGGCAUGACCUCCCAGCACCAUCAUAUUAAUGUUUUUAUAACUUUGUCUUGUGUCUAUUUCACUUUUCUGUUGAAAAGAUAACUGAGACUUCUGCUAGCUUUGAGGCACUGCUUAGAACUGCUUUGCAAAGCAUAGAUAGUCUUCACUUUAGAUUAGAUCACAGAACAUACUUGACUAAUACUUAACUGACGAGUAGUAACUACUGAAUUAAUCAUGACGUUUUUUUCAUGCUUUGUAAAGCAUAGAUAGUCUUCACAUUAGAUACUAAACUAAUACUUUAAUAAUGAGUAGUAACUACCUGAAUUAAUCAUGAAUUGCUCCUUUUGAUCAUUUACUAACACUUUACAAAUGAUCUUAGUAAUCAUCUCUAAGUCCUUCCAAUUUAAUUUACAAAUGGGGAAUUCAUAAUAAAGUUUGAAACCCCAAUGUUAUUAAUCAAGAAUGAAACAUUACAACUGUUUAUGAAUUGCAUACUAAUGAGUUACUAAUGAGGAUUCAUGUUUUAAUAAUGCUUUAUAAAUGAUGCAUUCAGUGAUUAUUCAUGCUUUACUAAUGCUAAAUAGUGUAAUUAAUAUAAAGUGCAACCAAGUUAUGUAUUUUCGACCACAACUUGUUAAUUAACGUCAAUAGACAAAUGUUCAUGUUUUCUUUGAGAUUGGCCUCUUAAAGUUUUGUCUAUUAAACCAGAAUAUGUUGGUUAAUAUGUACCAAUAGACUUUUGUUCAUGUGUGUGUGUUAUUAAAAACCUGCUCAAUUGA
Pseudoliparis swirei is the source of this 2450-nucleotide long non-coding RNA. RefSeq lists it as uncharacterized. NCBI's taxonomy places the organism in Eukaryota, Metazoa, Chordata, Actinopteri, Perciformes, Liparidae. The record is from RefSeq and is a predicted model, not a curated record. The transcript has 6 exons.